CCUUUCUUCUACUCAAAGCAAUAUUGCAGGCUCCUAAGGAAAAACAGCCUUUCGGCUUUAAUCUCCCUUCUCCCAAAGGACGGAAUCAGUGUUCUGUGUUUAUCUCCCUCAUGUCCUUGAUGAAUUUUCUCAGUACAGCUGCUGUAACGUAUACCCCUUGUAUGAAGUGUCACCAUCAGCUGGUCUUUGUCUGUUAGCGUCUCUUGCAUUGUGAACUCCUAUUUUUUUGGGGGGGCGGAUAUCUUACCAUAAUUCAUCAUGGUGGCCCAAACUAUACCAGAUUCGAGGUAGAAUCCUAGGAAAUGCUAAAUUAUAUCUUCCUUGAAAGGGAGUGAUGGACUACACUUAGCGGCUCUAGAACACCUGGGCUGCUAGCAAAUGUCAUUUUCUCAAGUGACUUUGAUGGCCAUAUGAGACUGUUGGAAGACGCUAGUUUCAAAUAGAAAAAAUGUGGCAGAAGAGACUGUGCUUCCAUUUCCCAGCAGUCUCCUUCCUUACUCAUAAGACGCCAAUUCAGAGAAAAUGCUUUUUGCACAAAACACGUCUUGCCUGGAAAAUUUUUACACAUUGAAAAUAAUAAUAGUUCAAUAGUUUUUAUUCCUGCUCUAAGUAGCUAUUGUUGAAAAUGUACUUUCCAUCCUUUACCGUUUUUUUUUUUUUUUUUUUUUUUUUUUGGCUAUACCUGUGGCAUAUGGAAGUUCUAGGGCCAGAGAUUGAACCCAUGGCACAGCAGUGACCAGAGCUACAGCAGUGACAACACUGGAUCCUUAACCUACUGUGCCACCAGAGAACUCUGUCCCCUACCUACUUAAAUACUUAAAAUGACCCUAUAAAACAUAGUAUGUUCUUCCAUUGGUGAUAAUUUGUCAAGAGAGGUUAAGGGCCUUAACCAAGACCUCUUUAGAAACAGCACAGCAGACCUGUGAUUGAGCCUGUUUCUGAUCCAGAUUAUAUCUUCUCUUUAGACGAUACUGCUGCCACCACACUUCACCACCAAUUCACUCUCAGCAUCAUCUGCUUGCUGGCAGGAUUCACCAGACUAGGAACAGUGAUGAGCUAGGUAUGAAAAGAGAAUCGCUUCCUUUAAUUACGCCCCAGAACCCCAAACCUUCAAGGAGAUUCUCUUGAAGGAAAGCAUGAGGCCCUAACUCUUUGUCUCUGUUUCAUCUUCCCCAGGGGGCCUCUUGCCCUUCAUGUUCCUCAGCCCCCACCCUGCCCCAGGGGGACACUGGUGGCCUUUUUAUCCUAGGACUCAAGGGGUAACAUCAACUGACCCCUCCUUUGGUUCCGUGAACCCAGCAGGGACCUCUAGAACUUGCCACAUGCCAAGAGAGAACAAAACGGACACAAACACAACAUUAAAACGUAUUAGCAAUCCAGUCUACAUAUUCCAAGUUUCUUGUACCUGACGUCACUUCCACCAGGAUCAGCAGAUCUUUUUCUGCCCCUUCCCCCAUUUCCUUCAAUAUCCAUAUGAUACCAUGGUGAGUCCUAAUGGUUUGCUCCGUUAUGCAGACAACUUGUCUAUACCGAGUAUGCAGUGUUCAUUGCACAGGUGAAUUUGUAGGCCUUUUGUGCUUGCUAUGCUCAUCACUGCCACCUCUUUCUGGUGGCUGCAGUUCUGCUCUAAUUUUGCACAGGUUUAGCUUCUUUCCAAAUGAAGGGUGCUGUCUGAUCACCCUCUACUCAGGAUCCCCUUCCCAGUAUUGGUGAAAAGCCACAAUUAAGGCUGAGGCAGAGAGGUCCUCCUCGUCUCUGAUUCAAGGCCAUCUUACAGGUGCAACCUCUUAAGAGGGAUGCUUCUUCUUCAGUAGUGGGAUGUCAGUAGUGGACACCCACCAAUAUCUGGCCUGUUGGCUGGAAGAAAAGUCCCAAAUUGAGCUGGUGCUUGAAACUUGGGGCAGGAAAAUUAGCACAAGAGUCGGGCUCAGGAUGGUGGGGGAGACACAUCCUAUUUAGUAGUAGUGAGCCGUCAGAUGGUAGGCUAAGGAGGGCCAGCAUGAGGAGCUUGACAGCAGGAAGCAGAUACCUAGUUUUGGAGGUCAGAAUUUGGGAAUCAGACAUCAGCUCCUGCGUUGACACUUACAAGGCGAGACUUGAGUUUUGGAGAAAUUUGGGUAGGGUAUCAAAGCAAGAUCCGCAGCUGAGUCUGAGUUAACGUUGGCUCAUGAAGGUCCAAGGUGGUGCCACAGCCUGCUAUUGGUCAUCCUGUUAACAUCACAGUGCCUCAGAGGCAGGGAAUCAGGAUACAUGGUAAAGAGACACACACGUGAUCAAAAUGACAAUGUUCAGUUUCAGUCUUGUGUUAUAUAGCAGUCUGAUCCCUUCUUAGCUUCGUUAAGGGGUCAAAGCUGGGAGGCAUCAGGGUUAUGGGAACAAUGCAAUACUGAUUAGUAUAUAAUUCAAUAGCCUUAUUAUUUUUGUAAAGCAAGAUAUAGAAACGAAAGGUCCAUGGCUAGUAGUAGGAAAUUCAGUGAUUCACCCUAAGGAAAUGAAGCACAGUCUCCCAGGAAGGUGAGCUAUUUUGUUUAUCCAGAAGGGGCACUGAUGGCUGGGUUCCUAACUGGAUUUUUUGCUAGCUCUCACAGGCAUUGUAUUUUCCUGGUCAGAUGCAGGGAAGAAUAGUAUGUCUUCAGAAGGAAUCCUUGGCAGCCAUCCUCCACUAUUUGGAGGGCAAUUGAUGCAGGCUCUUUUCUCUAAGUGGACCUCCAAAUGAUGUUGCAUGCAUGACCUUUUUAAAAGGUGACAUGCUGAGCCAAAGUGGCUGUGAAGGUCAAGCAUUUCCUAGGCUGCUUGUAGGGGAGAUUCAUCUUGGGUGAAAAAAGGAUUUGUUUGGAUAGAUUGGGGAGGGAAUUGUUUAAAAAUCUUGUUGCUGGGGUUCCUGUUGUAUGUAGCUCAGCAGUAAUGAACCUGUCUAGUAUCCUCAUGGACUUGAGUUUGAUCCUUGGCCUUGCUCAGUGGGUUAAGGAUCUGGUGUUGCUGUGGCUGUGGCUGGCAACUGUAGCUCUGAUUCUACCCCUAGCCUGGGAACUUCCAUAUGAUACAGGUGUGGCCCUACAAAGACAAAAACAUGUUGUUACUGAUGCUUUCACCUCUCAUCAUCACCUCUCCUAAGAGGAGUGACUCUUAAAGGAAGUUAGAGUGGAAAAAGAAUUGACACCAUUACGACCCAGGAAGGGUUCAUUUUUAGACCGUCAGCCAAGACUGAGUUGACAUUGACUGAUGAAGGCAAGAAGGGUGUCAGAGCUGGCCUUAUGGUCUAACUGUUGAUGGAUGCACAGUGCCUUAAAUGUAGAAAUUUUAUUUUUAUUAUUUAUUUAUUUGUCUUUUUGUUUUUUUAGGGCCGAACCCUCUGCAUAUGAAGGUUCCCAGACUAGGGGUCCAAUUGGAGCUGUAGUCGCUGGCCUAUGCCAGAGCCACAGCAACUCAGGAUCUGAGCCAUGUCUGCAACCUACACCACAGCUCACGGCAACACCAGAUCCUUAACCCACUGAGUGAGGGCCAGGAAUCGAACCGGAAACCUCAUGGCUCCUAGUCAGGUUCGUUAACCACUGCUGACUAGUUGUAAACUAUGUAAAAAUGAUAAUAAAAUACAAAAUGUUGGUACAUUGAAGCCCCUUAGUACAUUAACUUUUGUUACCUAGUUGAAUUUUUUUUUUUUUUUUUUUUUUGACGGCACUUGAAGCAUAUGAAAGUUCCCGGGCCAAGGAUCAAAACUGCACCGCAGUAGCAACCUGGACUGCUGCAGUGACCAUCCCAGGUCCUUAACCUGCUGCACCACAAGGGAAUUCCCUGGUUGAAUUAUGUUGUACAAACUUUGACUUAAGCUUGUAGCAUCAUCUCUAGUUGAAAACUCUUUGACACGGCAGGGGAAAUUUUAAAAUUACUAUUAGUUAAUAAUAGUUACUAAUAGUUAUUAUGCAGCUAUUCUAUGUAAAUUAUGUAUUUUUCAGUACUGGGCAACCAAAAAGCAAACAGACUUCAUUUGAAUGCUGAAACAAAUAUUAUUAUCUAUGAGCUCAGUUUGAAAUAUUGGGGAUAAAUCAAAACCACCUUAUUGUCUUCACUGAUUAACCUUGUACUGAGUAAAUUUAGUAGUAAAAUGAGAUUUUUAUAAAAUGUUUAAUCCUUAAAACCUCUCUGCAUCUUUUUGAGACAUUAAUGGUGUCCUAAGAUUUUGAAAACAGUUACAUUGCUUUAAAAACAUUUUAACAACAACAACAGAUGUUUGGAUGUACCACAUCAAAGAAUGGUACUUAUUGCUACCUAUUAUGAUGUAGAAAUGUAGUUUUUACAAUAAUUUAGAACUUUUUCAAAUUUAAGAAUGUGGUCUUCUUUUCCCACUUGUUCAAGUUGUUUUGAGUGAUUUUUAAAAAACAAACAAACAGAGGAGUUCCUGCUAUGGCGCAACCAGAUCGGUGGCAUCUCUGGAGCGCCAGGACACAGGUUUGAUCCCCACCUGGCACAGUGGGUUGAAGGAUUCUGCGUUGCCACAGCUGCGGGUGUGGAUCACAGCUGUGGCUCAGGUCUGAUCCCUGGCCCAGGAAUUCUGUAUGUCAUAGAGCUGCCAAAAAAGGUGGGAAAAUUUUUUUUUUUUUUUUUUUAAACAGCAGUGCUGUAUCCACUUUUACCGUCAUAAUGUUUAUGUCUUUUGUGACUGAAUUUUCUUGGUCAUAACUCAAUCCAUUAGCGCUCCAGGCCCAGAAAGCUUAUUUGUGAGUUGCAACAACUUCAAGUAGGGAGCUAGAUGAUUUUAUCUUUGAUUUUCAAGUAGAGGCACGUUGAACAGAGGACCCCUUUUGUGUAUGUAAUGAAAGCAUCGUCCCAGGAUGUCCUACUUUAGGAAGAGCCAAGGUAUCCUGUUUUCAUCCUAGUGCCUUGAAUGGGGCUUCUCUUUGGCAGGGGGCAUCCUGUAAACCAACCCACUUGGCCUUCUUCUCUGUUGUAGAGGAAGUGCUCUUCCUGUCCUUAUCAACAUCAAGGUCACAGUUUCAUGGGACUCUGAAGCCUCGAAACCCAUAAGAGAUCCUAAGAGACUGGGCUGGCACUAACGGGAACUGAAGGAAAAAGCCAGAAGGCAGUCUGUGGUUAGGAAAAGAGAAGGGAAAGUGUCAUUCUCGAUUGUACUUUUCCUUCCGCUGACUUUCCAUGGAUUGGACUUCUCCUCCUUCUCACUUUCCAGCAUGUAGGAAACAGGACAUGUUCAUGUCAGAGAAGACCAAGAACAAUGUUAGCAAAACAUACAGGCCUCUAGAGCAUCCAACUCCGAGGCAGCAUGACAAUAGUUAAAAUUCCAACUGUUACUAGGAUUUUGUAGAGGGAACAAAACACAAAAGAAGCCUCCAGUUCCUUGUGCAUUAAUAACCAAGCGGUGGAUAAAAAUGAUUUUUAAAAGACCUGAUUUGCAUAUAACAAAGAAAACAUGCCAGCUGUUUGAUUCAUUGGAAAACUUAAAUGAUGAGAAACCUAUAAACCAGUCAUUUUCAGUCUGGCUGUCAAUUUGUAUUUCACUGGUGUUCAGUGUCUGGUUACCAACAGUAAGCAGAUUCUCAUAAAUCAGCACUAAUGGGGACAUCCAGGAUGAUUGCUAAUAUUUAGACAAAGUGUGAAAAAUUAGGAUGUUUCAAGCUACUUCAGAAGUAAUUGUAACCCAGGAAAUUCCUACUUAGGUAUAUUUUCUCUGGCUAUUUCUCAUUGACUGGGGCUCAUGUCACAAAAGAUCCCCUUCAGUUGGAAUAAAGAGGAGAACAAGGAAGAAUGUCAAGCAGAAUUUAACUUUCUCAAAUCUUCAUUUAGCCAUUUUUUUUUCAUAUGUCUUCUAAACCCCAAAGUCAUUCACUGUGUAGCUCUGAAGGCUCGAAGACUUUGAGAAUUUGGUAGCUUCACAGAGAGAGAGAGAAACUGAGACAUUUUCAUUUUCUUUUUUUAAAAAAAUAAAAAAAAAAUUAAAAUUUUUUUAAAUGUUACGCUGCACCCAUGGCAUAUGGUAGUUCUCGGGUCAGGGACUAAAUCCGAGCUGCAGCUGCAACCUAUGCCACAGCUGAGGCAGUGCUGGAUCCUUUAACCUACUGUGCCCAGCCAGAAAUCGAAACCAUGCCUCUGCAGAGAUCUGAGCUGCCGCAGUCAGAUUCUUAACCCACUGUGCUAUGGUGGGAACUCCUAAUCUCCUUUGAGAACAGAACAGCAUGAGAACAAUUUAAAUGGCUGGAAAAUGUAUUUAAAUUAAACAAAGAACUCAAGACUUGAAAGGGUUGGACUGGAUUAUAGAAGUAGGUCAUGGGAUUUUAUUUUCAAGAGCAUCUGGGACAGAGUGAAAAGAGGGGUUGAAGAGUACCUGGUUGGGCUGGUGUUUUCCAGGGAUGCAUACAUUCAAGCCUCAUAACCAGUUUGUAGAUGGUGUGCUGUUACCGAUGCUCAAUGCAAGAGUCAACUAGUACAGAGUUUAAGCGCUGUGCCCAGGGGUUCACAGCUAAGAACUGCUGGAGCCAAGAUCCAAAUUUAGGUCUUCUGUUUCUACAAGCUGUGUUGUUGAACCACGCCACUGUGCGGCCUGCCAUAGAGCUCAUUUCCAUCAGUUUAAUUUUCUCGGAGGCAGACAAUGUGUUUGACUUGCAAGGUUUCUUUCAGCCCCCUGCUGCUGUGUGACACAUAACCAUUAGCUCACCACCAGGGUCAGCAGGUCCUUGGGUCUCACAGGAAGUGUGUCCAAGAUGAACUGUGCCCAGCUAUAUGCAAUGGCAUCCUCCUCCAAAAGCUCGUCACGCUUGAAUUCCUUGAAUUCAGCUUAUGCAAAACAUGCCAGUAGUCACUAAACAAUAACCCUUCCCAACCAUGCCACAGAAGGAGAAUUAAAUGAGAAGAGACAUCCAGAUUUGACAGGCAACCUAUAUACCAUUUAGAUCAGAAGUCUAGUCUUUGACAUGAAGGCAACCUAAAUGUCCCUUGACAGACAAAUGGAUUAAGAGGAUGUGGUACAUAUAUGCAAUGGAAUACUACUAAGCCAUAAAAAGAACAAAAUCAUGCCAUUUGCAGCAAUGUGGAUGUAACUAGAGAGUCUCAAUCUCAGUGAAGUAAGUCAGAAAGAGACAAAUACCAUAUGAUAUCAUUUUUAUGUGGAAUCUAAAAUAUGGCACAAAUGAACCUAUUUACAAAAUGGAAACAGAGACACAGACAUGGAGAACAGACUUGUUGCCAAAGGGGCAGGGGUUGGAGAGGGAGUGGGGUGGACUAGGAGUUUGGAGUUGGUAGAUGCAAACUAUUACAUUUAGAAUAGAUAAACAUUGAAGUUCUGCUGUACAGCACAGGGAACUACAUCCAGUCUCUUGGGAUAGAACAUGAUAGAGGAUGUAGGGAAUGUAAAGAGACUCUCUGUAUAUGUGACUGGGUCACUUUGCUGUACAGCAGAAAUUGGUACAACAUCAUAAAUCAACUAUUCCUUAACAAAAAA
Molecule: long non-coding RNA, 7447 nt
Filed under: Sus scrofa (pig)
Lineage: Eukaryota; Metazoa; Chordata; Mammalia; Artiodactyla; Suidae
Description: lncRNA (ENSSSCG00060075228.1)
Source: RNAcentral